Molecule: ribosomal RNA, 441 nt
Filed under: uncultured bacterium
Lineage: Bacteria
Description: partial 16S ribosomal RNA
Rfam family: Bacterial small subunit ribosomal RNA
Source: RNAcentral
CCUACGGGAGGCAGCAGUGGGGAAUAUUGGGCAAUGGAGGAAACUCUGACCCAGCAACGCCGCGUGAAGGAUGAAGGUUUUCGGAUUGUAAACUUCUGUCGCGAGGGAUGAAGAAUGACGGUACCUCGUAAGAAAGCCCCGGCAAACUACGUGCCAGCAGCCGCGGUAAUACGUAGGGGGCGAGCGUUGUCCGGAAUGACUGGGCGUAAAGGGAGUGUAGGCGGUAUGUCAAGUCAAGGGUGAAAUCCCCGCGCUCAACGUGGGAACUGCCUUUGAAACUGGCAAACUGGAGUGUGUGAGAGGAUAGUGGAAUUCCAGGUGUAGGAGUGAAAUCCGUAGAUAUCUGGAGGAACAUCAGUGGCGAAGGCGACUAUCUGGCACAUAACUGACGCUGAGGAGCGAAAGCGUGGGUAGCAAACAGGAUUAGAUACCCUAGUAGUC